Long non-coding RNA from Bactrocera neohumeralis, 533 nucleotides. RefSeq lists it as uncharacterized. Lineage: Eukaryota; Metazoa; Arthropoda; Insecta; Diptera; Tephritidae. The record is from RefSeq and is a predicted model, not a curated record. The transcript has 3 exons.
GCCUUAUCGUGAAUUUUCAUUUCGUGUGGAAUGAUUCACAUUUCGCCUAUGCCGUUCACCUAUGCUAUUUUGAAUAUUCACCAUGCGAAACAGUUCGCUUCGAAUUAUUUCCACCCUAUCGUGAACGGCAUCAACGGCGAAAUAAUUGUCAAAUUAUUGGUGAAAUUUUUCGUUAAAAUUUUGUGCGCGAAAUAUAUUUGAAUCAUGUCAAAAUCGAUUAAUAAAACGCAAUCUGAAAUUUUGCUCAGUAAAAUGGCAGAAAAUCCUGAUUUAGCGGCUGGCUUCUCUAAACAAGGAAAAGACAGACAAGAAGCGUUAUGGAAGGAAACGGCCGCGGAUUUGAACAGUGCUGGGCCUCCGACUAAAACGGUGUCUGAGUGGAAAAGGGUUUGGAAUGACCAAAAGCGUUACGUACGCAAAAAGUUGACGUUUAAUGCGGAACAAAUUAGAGGCACUGGUGGGGGACCAAACCUGCAUCAUAAACUGUCAACAUCGGAGGAAACUAUUGUAGCAAUCACUGGCAUGACAAAUAG